CCUACGGGAGGCUGCAGUGGGGAAUAUUGCACAAUGGGGGAAACCCUGAUGCAGCGACGCCGCGUGAGUGAAGAAGUAUUUCGGUACGUAAAGCUCUAUCAGCAGGGAAGAAAAUGACGGUACCUGACUAAGAAGCCCCGGCUAACUACGUGCCAGCAGCCGCGGUAAUACGUAGGGGGCAAGCGUUAUCCGGAUUUACUGGGUGUAAAGGGAGCGUAGACGGCAGCGCAAGUCGGGAGUGAAAUCCCAUGGCUUAACCAUGGAACUGCUUUGGAAACUGUUCAGCUAGAGUGCAGGAGAGGUAAGCGGAAUUCCUAGUGUAGCGGUGAAAUGCGUAGAUAUUAGGAGGAACACCAGUGGCGAAGGCGGCUUACUGGACUGUAACUGACGUUGAGGCUCGAAAGCGUGGGGAGCAAACAGGAUUAGAUACCCCAGUAGUC
This 440-nucleotide ribosomal RNA is filed under the name uncultured bacterium. RNAcentral's name for it is "partial 16S ribosomal RNA". It matches the Rfam family "Bacterial small subunit ribosomal RNA", at positions 338 to 795 of the family's 1533-position model. The record is from RNAcentral.